RNAcentral lists this ribosomal RNA (399 nucleotides) under Triticum aestivum (bread wheat). Its description in RNAcentral is "partial small subunit ribosomal RNA". Lineage: Eukaryota; Viridiplantae; Streptophyta; Magnoliopsida; Poales; Poaceae. The record is from RNAcentral.
AUGCAGAGAGCGGUCAGGGUGGUGUGGCCUGACUCAUACCACAGGUUGUGCAUAUGGCACAUUCAGCAGAACAUCGUACGCCAUCUGCAUGAUGAUGAGGUUACGGAAGAAUUCAGAUCUUUCAUACAUGACUCGUCUUCUAUUGAAGAGCAUGAGAGAAAAUGGAUAGAGUUCUUACGAAGGAAUGAAGUGACAAAUGAGGAGUCGUGGCUGCAUCAGAUGUAUCAGAUGAGGAAGUUGUGGUGUGCUCCAUACCUAGUGGGGCGCUGUUUCUUAGGAUUGAGCAGCAAUCAGCGAAGUGAGAGACUAAACUCCAUGCUACAUACACAUCUUGAGGGUAAGAUGACAUUGUUUGAUAUGCUAGAGCACUAUGAGUGUUGCCUUUCGGGACGAGCUUGA